RNAcentral lists this ribosomal RNA (399 nucleotides) under uncultured soil bacterium. RNAcentral's name for it is "bacterial SSU rRNA". It matches the Rfam family "Bacterial small subunit ribosomal RNA", at positions 975 to 1372 of the family's 1533-position model. The record is from RNAcentral.
CAGCCCUUGACAUGUCCUUUAUGGAUCCCAGAGACGGAGUCCUUCACUUCGGGUGGGAGGAACACAGGUGCUGCAUGGCUGUCGUCAGCUCGUGUCGUGAGAUGUUGGGUUAAGUCCCGCAACGAGCGCAACCCACGCCCUUAGUUGCCAUCAUUUAGUUGGGCACUCUAAGGGGACUGCCGGUGAUAAGCCGGAGGAAGGUGGGGAUGACGUCAAGUCCUCAUGGCCCUUACGGGCUGGGCUACACACGUGCUACAAUGGCGGUGACAGAGGGAUGCAAAGGGGCGACCCUUCGCAAAUCUCAAAAAUCCGUCUCAGUUCGGAUUGGGGUCUGCAACUCGACCCCAUGAAGUUGGAAUCGCUAGUAAUCGCAGAUCAGCACGCUGCGGUGAAUACGUU